RNAcentral lists this long non-coding RNA (483 nucleotides) under Agrilus planipennis (emerald ash borer). RNAcentral's name for it is "uncharacterized LOC108739130, transcript variant X2". Lineage: Eukaryota; Metazoa; Arthropoda; Insecta; Coleoptera; Buprestidae. The record is from RNAcentral.
CAAUCGGCGAACAUAAGACGUAAUGUGGACGUUAAGUUUACAGAAUAUAUAAAGAACAUGCAACGUCGUUGUUGGUAAUGGCUUCAGGCACACAAAUUUUCCGGUUGGUGCCAUUUAAUGGUCCUCCAUUUUACUUGGACUUUAAACCGAAGUAGAAAUAUUAGAAAAGAAAAUGCACUACAAAUAACAAUAGCUUUUGUAGUGAAAAUUAUGCCAUUGGGAUUGGGUUACGAACAGCCUUGUACGUUUAGAAAUAAAUAUAGUACAGAUAAAUUUCUGUUGCUGUAAAUAAAUACAAGAUAAAAAGAAGCAUUACAAAUGCAUUGGGAUACAUUACAAAUUGCAGCCAUUCAAAACAUCGAGGGAGACAAAAAUAACCAAAUAUUUGUUUUGACAAUGGAGUAAAAAAAGACGUCCAUCAAGUUGGCGUGAAAUUGAACCUUCUCAAUCAAUUUUCAAAAAUAUACAUUUUUUUCAUGAACA